GCUGACGUACCUUAAUUUUAAAGCAUAACGCUGAAAAUGUUAAAAUGAGCCCUAAAAAGCUCCGUAAGCA
Molecule: transfer RNA, 70 nt
Filed under: Chrysochir aurea (Reeve's croaker)
Lineage: Eukaryota; Metazoa; Chordata; Actinopteri; Sciaenidae
Description: tRNA-Phe
Rfam family: tRNA
About the family: Transfer RNA (tRNA) molecules are approximately 80 nucleotides in length. Their secondary structure includes four short double-helical elements and three loops (D, anti-codon, and T loops).
Source: RNAcentral